GGCUUGUUGAUUAUAAUUUAAAGUCAGACCUGCCCACUGAGGAUUUAAAUGGCCGCGGUAUAUUGACCGUGCAAAGGUAGCAUAAUCACUAGUUUUUUAAUUGAGAGCUUGAAUGAAAGGUUCAAUGAAAAAAAUUCUGUCUCUAUGAAAUUUUAUUAGAAUUUUAUUUUAAAGUUAAAAAGCUUAAAUUUAAGUAGAAGACGAGAAGACCCUAUAGAGUUUUAUAUUUAAAUGAAGAAUUUAAGUUUUUGGAAUUGGAAAUUUUAUUUUUGUUUAUUUAUUUUAUUGGGGUGAUAAAAAAAUUUGACUAACUUUUUUUUUAACAUUACAUUGAUAUAUGAAAGAAUGAUCCUUUAAUUAAGAUUAAAAGAUUAAAUUACCUUAGGGAUAACAGCGUAAUUUUUUUUAGAGUUCUUAUCGAAUAAAAAGAUUGCGACCUCGAUGUUGGAUUAAAAUUAAUUGUUGGUGUAGAAGCUAAUGAAUUAGGUCUGUUCGACCUUUAAAAUUUUACAUGAUCUGAGUUUAGACCGGUGUGAG
RNAcentral lists this ribosomal RNA (537 nucleotides) under Trigonopterus sp. 934 AR-2022a. RNAcentral's name for it is "partial large subunit ribosomal RNA". It matches the Rfam family "Bacterial large subunit ribosomal RNA", at positions 1860 to 2625 of the family's 2925-position model. The record is from RNAcentral. Lineage: Eukaryota; Metazoa; Arthropoda; Insecta; Coleoptera; Curculionidae.